This 253-nucleotide ribosomal RNA is filed under the name uncultured bacterium. RNAcentral's name for it is "partial 16S ribosomal RNA". It matches the Rfam family "Bacterial small subunit ribosomal RNA", at positions 524 to 776 of the family's 1533-position model. The record is from RNAcentral.
CACGUAGGGCGCAAGCGUUGUCCGGAAUUAUUGGGCGUAAAGAGCUCGUAGGUGGUCCGCUGCGUCCGCUGUGAAAUCCCAGGGCUUAACCCUGGGCUUGCAGUGGAUACGGGCAGACUAGAGGUAGGUAGGGGAGAAUGGAAUUCCCGGUGUAGCGGUGAAAUGCGCAGAUAUCGGGAGGAACACCGGUGGCGAAGGCGGUUCUCUGGGCCUUACCUGACACUGAGGAGCGAAAGCGUGGGGAGCAAACAGG